RNAcentral lists this ribosomal RNA (453 nucleotides) under uncultured Porphyromonadaceae bacterium. RNAcentral's name for it is "partial 16S ribosomal RNA". It matches the Rfam family "Bacterial small subunit ribosomal RNA", at positions 341 to 792 of the family's 1533-position model. The record is from RNAcentral. Lineage: Bacteria; Pseudomonadati; Bacteroidota; Bacteroidia; Bacteroidales; Porphyromonadaceae.
ACGGGAGGCAGCAGUGAGGAAUAUUGGUCAAUGGGCGGAAGCCUGAACCAGCCAAGUCGCGUGAAGGAUGAAGGUAUUAUGUAUUGUAAACUUCUUUAGUCGCAGAGAAAUAAGGCGGACGAGUCCGCUGAUGCUAGUAUGCGAAGAAUAAGGAUCGGCUAACUCCGUGCCAGCAGCCGCGGUAAUACGGAGGAUCCGAGCGUUAUCCGGAUUUAUUGGGUUUAAAGGGUGCGCAGGCGGCUUUUUAAGUCAGUGGUCAAAUCGUGGGGCUCAACCCCAUCCCGUCAUUGAUACUGGAGAGCUUGAUUGCGGUCGAGGUUGGCGGAAUUCGUCGUGUAGCGGUGAAAUGCAUAGAUAUGACGAAGAACACCGAUUGCGUAGGCAGCUGACCAAGCCGUAAAUGACGCUCAUGCACGAAAGUGCGGGGAUCGAACAGGAUUAGAUACCCUGGUA